CGGGACGCUUCGCCUGUGACGAAGCUGGUUUCUGUUCGGAGUGUGUUUCCAUUCUUCUGCUCCGAGUGUUGAGAGGAAGCACGAAUGGGAAUCAAACCCACUCCCCUGUCUUCUGGGGGCGACGUCAGAAUCAGCAGCAGAGAUCCUGCAACAACGGAACGCUGCUUCAUUUCUAGAAGACACACGUGGACCACAAAGUCAUGAAGCAACUCUGGACCUUUAUUUGGAGGAUUAUCCAUCUGAGUCCUGCAUUUUAUGAGCAAGUCUUCGCUGUCUUUAGAAGUGGUGGCCAAAGGACACUCCACCUACUUUUGACUCCUCGUCUCAUGUUGCUCGGUGGAAAAGUGCCUUUGACAGCUGGACACUGGAUGAUCAGCCUUGAGGAUCGUAUGUGGGGGGGGGGGUCCACUCAACGUUUGUGACAGGGCUUUCUGCUCUGUUUACAGAUUGAACAUCUUUAACUGGGAAGCUGUCUGUACAAGAUGCUUCUUUUGAAUCAACCCAGAAAGAGGAACAAAAGCCGUUUGGGGGAAUCGUCUCCAAGAGGACAGGGAGAGUCGUUCAGAGUGGAUCUCCAUAGGUCAGUGAGAGCUCUCUCCCCAGACACUUCACAUCAAUGCAACCAUGGUUCUUUGUCAGUGUUUGUCACGUGAUCAUAUUCUUGUUCUCCUGUCCACUAAAUGUGAAUCAUUUCACUUCACAAAUGUCUUUUUCCUGGAAAGAGUCACAGGUUUGACCAAAYAGGUUUUUCCUUGCUGCUCUUACAGGUCAAAUCCACAUUUGUUUAUUCUCUGGGACAAUAAUGAACAUUUGAACUUUCACAGACGUGUUCAACUUUUCUACACAUUGAAUCACAAAGAGACAGAAAUCCAAGAGAGUAUCAGGGACUUUAUUCAAAACUCAAGUACAAAAGGAAUGAAACAGCAAAGCAGCUUCAUUUAACAUUCAUUUAUAAAAACCCAACACGUCAACGUUCACUUUCUACACUGUAAAAAUCAAAACUUGGAAUUGCGUCACUGCGAUUUCUAAAAAUAUAACGAACAAAGAAAAUUUAAUGGAUUUGUAAACGUAGUAAAAGUAUUUUCUUCAAAUAACUUUACUUAAGUUAUAAAUUUGUAAAGUUGCUGAAUUUAUGACGGCAAAACACAAAAUAGUAAGUUUGUGAUGUGACACCUCUCACGUCUCAUCAGGGGAAACGUGGCCUCACGUCAUGAAGCUGAGUGUUCAGGUUGAAUACAGGACAGAGAUUCUGGMUCUGCAGUUGCAUAUGUUGGCGGCUGUGGCUCAGGAGGUAGAGCGGAUCGUCCACAGACA
Molecule: non-coding RNA, 1314 nt
Organism: Paralichthys olivaceus (Japanese flounder)
Lineage: Eukaryota; Metazoa; Chordata; Actinopteri; Pleuronectiformes; Paralichthyidae
Source: RefSeq, a predicted model, not a curated record